GCCGCGUCUGCUGUGAAAGCCCGGGGCUUAACUCCGGGUGUGCAGUGGGUACGGGCAGGCUAGAGUGCAGUAGGGGAGACUGGAAUUCCUGGUGUAGCGGUGAAAUGCGCAGAUAUCAGGAGGAACACCGAUGGCGAAGGCAGGUCUCUGGGCUGUUACUGACGCUGAGAAGCGAAAGCAUGGGUAGCGAACAGGAUUAGAUACCCUGGUAGUCCAUGCCGUAAACGUUGGGCACUAGGUGUGGGGGACAUUCCACGUUUUCCGCGCCGUAGCUAACGCAUUAAGUGCCCCGCCUGGGGAGUACGGCCGCAAGGCUAAAACUCAAAGGAAUUGACGGGGGCCCGCACAAGCGGCGGAGCAUGCGGAUUAAUUCGAUGCAACGCGAAGAACCUUACCAAGGCUUGACAUACACCGGACCGCGCUGGAGACAGCGUUUCCCUUCGGGGCUGGUGUACAGGUGGUGCAUGGUUGUCGUCAGCUCGUGUCGUGAGAUGUUGGGUUAAGUCCCGCAACGAGCGCAACCCUUAUCCUAUGUUGCCAGCACGUGAUGGUGGGGACUCAUGGGAGACUGCCGGGGUCAACUCGGAGGAAGGUGGGGAUGACGUCAAAUCAUCAUGCCCCUUAUGUCUUGGGCUUCACGCAUGCUACAAUGGCCGGUACAGUGGGUUGCGAUGCCGUGAGGUGGAGCUAAUCCCUAAAAGCCGGUCUCAGUUCGGAUCGAAGUCUGCAACUCGACUUCGUGAAGUUGGAGUCGCUAGUAAUCGC
Molecule: ribosomal RNA, 765 nt
Filed under: uncultured bacterium
Lineage: Bacteria
Description: bacterial SSU rRNA
Rfam family: Bacterial small subunit ribosomal RNA
Source: RNAcentral